Molecule: small RNA, 78 nt
Rfam family: RtT RNA
About the family: This family represents a bacterial cis-regulatory element known as RtT RNA.
AGACCAAUGGCUCGAGCCGAGCGAAGCGAGACAGCGUCACGAAGUGACGACCCGAAGGGCAAGGCCGCAGGCCGAGUA